GAUGAGCGCUGGCGGCGUGCCUAAUACAUGCAAGUCGAGCGAACGGACGAGAAGCUUGCUUUUCUGAUGUUAGCGGCGGACGGGUGAGUAACACGUGGAUAACCUACCUAUAAGACUGGGAUAACUUCGGGAAACCGGAGCUAAUACCGGAUAAUAUUUUGAACCGCAUGAUUCAAAAGUGAAAGACGGUCUUGCUGUCACUUAUAGAUGGAUCCGCGCUGCAUUAGCUAGUUGGUAAGGUAACGGCUUACCAAGGCAACGAUGCAUAGCCGACCUGAGAGGGUGAUCGGCCACACUGGAACUGAGACACGGUCCAGACUCCUACGGGAGGCAGCAGUAGGGAAUCUUCCGCAAUGGGCGAAAGCCUGACGGAGCAACGCCGCGUGAGUGAUGAAGGUCUUCGGAUCGUAAAACUCUGUUAUUAGGGAAGAACAUAUGUGUAAGUAACUGUGCACAUCUUGACGGUACCUAAUCAGAAAGCCACGGCUAACUACGUG
RNAcentral lists this ribosomal RNA (497 nucleotides) under uncultured bacterium. Its description in RNAcentral is "partial 16S ribosomal RNA". It matches the Rfam family "Bacterial small subunit ribosomal RNA", at positions 28 to 507 of the family's 1533-position model. The record is from RNAcentral.